AGUCAUUAAUUUUAUCAAAAUGCCAAUUCAAAUUUUUUUUCAUACAAAAAUAAAUGUAAAACGCUUAAGAGAUUUCGCUUUUUCUAAUUUCCAUAUUAAAUGAUCAUGUUAUUUGAUAAUUUAGACCGCCAGACUGCCCUAACCCCUUAAAAUAUUGAGGAAGAAUAGCAGCAGAAGAUCUAUACUCAACAAAAGCUGUUGCUGUUCGAUCGAACUGUAGUUUCAGUAAAGCUUCUGCCACUUCACAACUCCGUCUGUGCAAUUAAAACGAAAGUACAAAAAGUAUUGGCGGCGUUGCGCAAAUUGGCAUUUCUCAAUGUCACGCGUCUGUGAAUUGACUUGAACAGCUGGGAAGGAUGGCAACAAAACGGAUUCAUAAGUACUAGCUAACUACCGCGCAUACAGCACACAGAAGCAACAAACAAAACGAGAGAAAUGCAAACGAAAUGCGGCAAAUUGUUUCAUGCGCUCAAUGCUUGUUGGCUACUUUUGCUGGUUCUUGUUUGCAGCAUCAGCGAAAGUUUGCGCUAAAAUUGCUAAAUAUUUAUAUACUUGUAUGUAUUUAUGUGAAAUGACAUGUUUAACUUUUUUGCUGGAACUUGUAUUGCCCUAAAGCCUUGGCAUCAACACCAUACGUAAUUAAAACAUACGUCGAGCAUUAAUUGGUAGCUCUCCAAAGGCGUGUAUAAAAUCAAUUUUUCAAGCAUAUUAAGUUUGUAUGUAGCUAGUUUGCAGCGAAUAUAAAGACGCUAUAAUUCCCCAGUGUUCAAAAACAUUACUUGAGUAGAUUGCCUCAAUCAAUUUAAUUAAUUUGAAUUUGUAUUAAAUUUCAUAUGCGGACAAUGAGCGGGCAAUGUCAAGGUUCAAAGAGUUAUCGUAACCUGGUGAUAAAUUCAACAAAAAUAGUGUUAUGAUUUUCUAAUGUAUGUGGCUCGCGACGCAGGAAGAAAAUAUUUAGACUUCAUUUCAACUACAAAAACUCCUUAGAGAUUCUAAAACUGUUCUGUUGAGAAAUAAGUUAAAGAUAAAGCUGUGGCUUUAAAUACAACUGCCUUGCAUUAUCAUGUUACCACUACAAAGAGGGAUUGCGGCUUCGCAAGCGAUCCACCCAAUUUUCUUUAACUUAGAAUAUGUAUUAAGCACAACGGUAGGUAUCCUGUCUCAACCGGCUGGAAGCUGGCCAUUUCCGAAGUCAAAGUUCUAAUGUUUUCUCAGUCUCAGCACAUGUCCGACAUUAUGUCUAUUCUUCC
Molecule: long non-coding RNA, 1250 nt
Organism: Bactrocera oleae (olive fruit fly)
Lineage: Eukaryota; Metazoa; Arthropoda; Insecta; Diptera; Tephritidae
Source: RefSeq, a predicted model, not a curated record